This is a long non-coding RNA of Prosopis cineraria, 822 nucleotides long. RefSeq lists it as uncharacterized. NCBI's taxonomy places the organism in Eukaryota, Viridiplantae, Streptophyta, Magnoliopsida, Fabales, Fabaceae. The record is from RefSeq and is a predicted model, not a curated record. The transcript has 2 exons.
GUAGCAUUCCUAGAAAGCAUCCACGUCACUAUUUUUUUCCCAUUCGGAAUAAUGCUAUUCUUGGGUGGACUUAAUGGUAGGUCCCACCAGUUUUGUCAUCACCUUGCAUCUUCCUCUUUCCCAACCUCUCAUCUUCCAUCGUCACUGCUGAGUUCACUUUCUUCUUCCUCUUCUUCCUGAAAACCAAAUCUAGAUCGGUAGCAAGAAGGAUUCAAAAAAACAUCAAUGACUCAGUUUCAUCCUCGAUUUUUUUUACCACCAUUGAACAAAUCUAAAGAAGCACUUGACCCUAUCACUCUCCCUCACCACCAUCGAGUCUCUGGGCUCACGAUGUUCUUCAAUUCGAGCUAGUGCUUCUCCGUCGUUGAUUUCAUUUUGUUAAGAUCGCUCUUCCUCUUCCUCUCAUGGCUUUACCUAAGUUUCUUCUUCUCUCUCUCUCACUUGCCGAGACCUUAUUCACCGAGAUCCCUUGUUCGUGUUUCCAUUUGUAGUUUCUCCUCUCACGCCUAGGGUUUCAUUUGUCAAGGCUUCAAAGGGGUAUGGAUCGUUAACUCUCCUUUCCUUGAAGCAACAAAUCUAUGCUGGCUGCCUUCCGAUUUCAUGAGUCUGGGGAUCCCAUCAUUUUGAAGAAGCACGAAGAUGUCGAUGGACCUUCUUUGGUUGGGUAAACUGCCUCUGGAGGGCAGAUUGCUGGUAUAAUAUUGUCGAAUGUGUGAAUUUGAGAUGAUGAUCUACCUCUGAAGCACAAAGAAAUCAAUAAAUCCUCUAUAUUUCUCUUUUGUAAAUUUCUGCUAAAUUGAUGGAAAAAUUUUAUUUGCCUUA